CCUACGGGUGGCAGCAGUGAGGAAUAUUGGUCAAUGGGCGGAAGCCUGAACCAGCCAAGUCGCGUGAGGGAUUAAGGCCCUGCGGGUCGUAAACCUCUUUUGCCGGGGAGCAGAGGUCCGGACGUGUCCGGGCCGGGAGGGUACCCGGAGAAAAAGCAUCGGCUAACUCCGUGCCAGCGGCCGCGGUAAUACGGAGGAUGCGAGCGUUUUCCGGAUUUAGUGGGUUUAAAGGGUGGGUAGGCGGGCAUUUAAGCCGGCGGUCAAAUGUCGGGGCUCAACCCCGGCCUGCCGUCGGAACUGGGUGCCUUGAGUGGGCGAGAAGUAUGCGGAAGGCGUGGUGUAGCGGUGAAAUGCAUAGAUAUCACGCAGAACCCCGAUUGCGAAGGCAGCAUACCGGCGCCCUACUGACGCUGAGGCACGAAAGUGCGGGUAUCGAACAGGAUUAGAUACCCCUGUAGUC
RNAcentral lists this ribosomal RNA (460 nucleotides) under uncultured bacterium. RNAcentral describes it as "partial 16S ribosomal RNA". It matches the Rfam family "Bacterial small subunit ribosomal RNA", at positions 338 to 795 of the family's 1533-position model. The record is from RNAcentral.